This 492-nucleotide ribosomal RNA is filed under the name uncultured bacterium. RNAcentral's name for it is "partial 16S ribosomal RNA". It matches the Rfam family "Bacterial small subunit ribosomal RNA", at positions 29 to 507 of the family's 1533-position model. The record is from RNAcentral.
AGUGAACGCUGGCGGUAGGCCUAACACAUGCAAGUCGAACGGCAGCACAGUAAGAGCUUGCUCUUACGGGUGGCGAGUGGCGGACGGGUGAGGAAUACAUCGGAAUCUACUUUUUCGUGGGGGAUAACGUAGGGAAACUUACGCUAAUACCUCAUACGACCUACGGGUGAAAGCAGGGGAUCUUCGUACCUUGCGCGAUUGAAUGAGCCGAUGUCGGAUUAGCUAGUUGGCGGGGUAAAGGCCCACCAAGGCGACGAUCCGUAGCUGGUCUGAGAGGAUGAUCAGCCACACUGGAACUGAGACACGGUCCAGACUCCUACGGGAGGCAGCAGUGGGGAAUAUUGGACAAUGGGCGCAAGCCUGAUCCAGCCAUACCGCGUGGGUGAAGAAGGCCUUCGGGUUGUAAAGCCCUUUUGUUGGGAAAGAAAAGCAGCAGGUUAAUACCCCGCUGUUCUGACGGUACCAAAAGAAUAAGCACCGGCUAACUUCGUG